UAAGUCAGCCACGAAUAGGCUAUCCCAACUAACGGCGGGAAAGACUCCACGGAGGGUGUAAGACCCGUGUGGGCGCGUGUCAAAGCUGUGCGGGCUCGGCCUCUAUUCCCUGAGAGUCGCGUUGCUUGAGCAUGCAGCGCUAAGCAGGUCGUAAACUCGAUCUAAGGCUAAAUAUCUCCACAGAACCGAUAGCGAACAAGUACCGUGAGGGAAAGUUGAAAAGCACUCUGGAGAGAGAGUCAAAAGACCGUGAAACCGCUCAGAGUAUAAGCCCAUGGCAGCUUGGAAGGCAUAUCGCUAGCGGGGCAUCGGUCUUCCUUCACGGGGAGCUGGUGUUACCUUGCUUCUGUUGUGGCUCGUCAUGGUAGGGGGGUCAAGUCCACAUCCCGCCGUCGUGUGGGGGGUUCUUGGGUGUGUUGUGGUUUCUCGGUUGACUUCGGUUGGCCGAGGGGCCCUUCGUGCUUGGUUCCUCUUUAGACACGGACGUUCAGACUCAAAGGCAAGACGCGAUAAACAGCCCACCACGGCACGUUGUGAGGUCACCCACAGGCUCGACUUUCGAUCGUGAGCCUUGACGCCGAGCAAGCACAAUGCGUGUCGCAAAUGUUCCUAACCAGGCAACGCUGCCAGGACUGUGGAACGACACGCGCUCAACAGUCAGGUUCGGGCGGAGACAGAGUUCUGGUACGAUCCUCUUGCGACGAGCCGGCUUCUGGCCAACAUCCGAUGCUCAGGUCUCCCGCAUGUGCCGCGGGAGAUCGCCUUGACGGUCUGGA
Molecule: ribosomal RNA, 776 nt
Filed under: Gammarus balcanicus
Lineage: Eukaryota; Metazoa; Arthropoda; Malacostraca; Amphipoda; Gammaridae
Also listed under: 1 other name
Description: eukaryotic LSU rRNA
Rfam family: Eukaryotic large subunit ribosomal RNA
Source: RNAcentral